CUCACUGUGUCAGGCAGGCAUCUCUGGAUCCAGCUGGUUUUUGUUUUGCUGAGGCUCGGCUUCUUCCUGGAACUUUUUGAAACAACACUCAAGGGUCUCAAAUGGCUGACAUGAUGGUCUGUGACCUGAAAGUUGUUGAAUAGUUGGAGUGUUCUGCAUUCAUGUGGAAGAGGCUAAAGGAUGUUUGAUGAAGCACUAUGGGCUGCCCUGGAAGAGGACUGAAGAAGCAGCUGCAGGGAAUGAAUGCUUCAAGACCACAGUGCUCUCCUGCCUUGGAAACACCUUCGCCUUCCUCCGCUUCUCUUUGGCUACCAUGGUCACCCUCCACACUGCUUUCCUCAACUCUUGGGCAGGCUGGUCUCAAACUCCUGACCUCAUGUGGUCCUCCUGCUUCAACCUCCCAAAGUGCUGGGAUUAUAGGCAUGAGCCACUGCACCUGGCCCGAUUCUUUAUAUUUGUAAAAAGCGUAAUGUACUUCAAUAUAUUCAAAAUUAGACUAUUAUUUAGAAGUAUAUCAAUUUGCAGCCAGGGCAGUGGCUUACGCCUGUCCUUUACACAUAUAAGAUGGUAAUACACGGCCGGGCACAGUGGCUUGUGCCUGUAAUCCCAGUACUUUGGAAGGCCGAGGUGGGUGGAUCACCUGAGGUCAGGAGUUCGAGACCAGACUGGCCAACAUGGAGAAACCCCGUCUCUACUAAAAAUACAAAAAUUAGCCAGGUGUGGUGGUGGGCUCCUGUAAUCCCAGCUACUUGGGUGGCUGAGGCAGGAGAAUCCCUUGAACCUGCGAGGUAGAGGUUGCAGUGAGCCGAAAUUGCACCAUUGCACUCUAGCCUGGGCAACAAGAGC
RNAcentral lists this long non-coding RNA (846 nucleotides) under Pan troglodytes (chimpanzee). RNAcentral describes it as "lincRNA". The record is from RNAcentral. Lineage: Eukaryota; Metazoa; Chordata; Mammalia; Primates; Hominidae.